RNAcentral lists this ribosomal RNA (254 nucleotides) under uncultured bacterium. Its description in RNAcentral is "partial 16S ribosomal RNA". It matches the Rfam family "Bacterial small subunit ribosomal RNA", at positions 524 to 776 of the family's 1533-position model. The record is from RNAcentral.
AACGUAGGUUCCGAGCGUUAUCCGGAUUUACUGGGCGUAAAGGGCGCGUAGGCGGCCACCGCAAGUCAGUUGUGAAAGCUCUGGGCUUAACCCAGAAAGGUCAACUGAUACUGCGGGGCUAGAGUGCAGAAGGGGCAACUGGAAUUCUCGGUGUAGCGGUGAAAUGCGUAGAUAUCGAGAGGAACACCUGCGGCGAAGGCGGGUUGCUGGGCUGAUACUGACGCUGAGGCGCGAAAGCUAGGGGAGCGAACGGG